CAGCACUUUCAAAGUAAAUAUUUUGCUUAAGAAUCUUAUUAAAGAAAGUCUGUGCCUGCUUAAUGAUGCUUUCUCUGACGAGAAGAACGAGCCCUUCCCUGUAUCAUGGCAGUGCAGCAUCACUUUCGAGACCCUGGUGCUUGUUUCAAGGAGGAUAUAGCCACAGUAAAGACUGUCCCCCAGCUGCCCAGCCUGCCUGUGGUGCCUGCCCUGGGACAACAGUGGCCGAAAGGAAUAGGAGGGGCUGAAAUUGAGCAAAGUUGUUCAUGGUUCCUGUUAUCCGAAGAGAGCAGACUCUUGAGUUACAGUAAGGCUUUUUCAUCCUCAAACCUCACAGAACUCCGGUAUCAGAAGAAACACAGAAUACUCCCUGUAUGGCAUCUUUCGGCAUUUCUUACAGACUCUACCAUCUUGCCAUUCUUCCUAACAGAGUGA
RNAcentral lists this long non-coding RNA (435 nucleotides) under Struthio camelus australis. Its description in RNAcentral is "lncRNA (ENSSCUG00000012579.1)". Lineage: Eukaryota; Metazoa; Chordata; Aves; Struthioniformes; Struthionidae. The record is from RNAcentral.